RNAcentral lists this unclassified non-coding RNA (373 nucleotides) under soil metagenome. Its description in RNAcentral is "partial contains 5.8S ribosomal RNA, internal transcribed spacer 2, and large subunit ribosomal RNA". The stretch from base 1 to 121 matches the Rfam family "5.8S ribosomal RNA", at positions 35 to 154 of the family's 154-position model. The record is from RNAcentral.
GAUGAAGAACGUAGCGAAAUGCGAUAAGUAGUGUGAAUUGCAGAAUUCCAGUGAGUCAUCGAAUCUUUGAACGCACAUUGCGCCCUUUGGUAUUCCGAAGGGCAUGCCUGUUCGAGCGUCAUUAUCACCCCUCAAGCCCUCGGCUUGGUGUUGGACGGUUUGGUGGAGGCCCCCUCGGGGGCUCCUGCCCCUCCCAAAGACAAUGACGGCGGCCUCGUUGGACCCCCGGUACACUGAGUUCUUCACGGGACACGUAUCGGACACAUGGGUUUACGGGACACGGUCUGCCUCCCCUCAGGGAGAAUCUUUCUAAGGUUGACCUCGGAUCAGGUAGGGAUACCCGCUGAACUUAAGCAUAUCAAUAAGCGGAGGA